UCGGCAGCCAGUCCUUCACGCGUCUGGUGGGAGCGUGGGAGCGGGAGAGGCAAGCAAGGUUAAUGACUCGCCUAAGGUCACGGGAAAAAUACAUGAAAUGGCAGCUAUGAAACAUAUUCACAGGUCAGAAAAGAAGUGAUUUGUUGGCUCGAGGUCAGCCAACAAUAAAAAAGUUGGAUGACCAAAACAGUUUGACAUAUAUACAACUCCAGCGUGUCAGUCCUGCAGAGGGCUUAAAGACGAUCCACGUUAGCCCCCACAUUAUACAGACAAGAAAGGCACUUGCUCCAGGUCUGGGAGCUGGUUACAGCAAAAGCCAGGACUAGAACCCUGUGUCCAGCUCUAGCUCCUGUCUCAGGGCCACAGCUGUAAGGAUACCCGCCCUCUCCGUGUGACCGUGGAGGAUGCUGGGGCUGAGAUUUCCUUCCUG
This 430-nucleotide long non-coding RNA is filed under the name Rhinopithecus roxellana (golden snub-nosed monkey). RNAcentral's name for it is "lncRNA (ENSRROG00000045961.1)". The record is from RNAcentral. Lineage: Eukaryota; Metazoa; Chordata; Mammalia; Primates; Cercopithecidae.